RNAcentral lists this ribosomal RNA (429 nucleotides) under Chloroflexota bacterium. RNAcentral describes it as "Chloroflexi bacterium partial 16S ribosomal RNA". It matches the Rfam family "Bacterial small subunit ribosomal RNA", at positions 355 to 776 of the family's 1533-position model. Lineage: Bacteria; Bacillati; Chloroflexota. The record is from RNAcentral.
UGGGGAAUAUUGCACAAUGGGCGCAAGCCUGAUGCAGCCAUGCCGCGUGUAUGAAGAAGGCCUUCGGGUUGUAAAGUACUUUCAGCGGGGAGGAAGGGAGUAAAGUUAAUAUCUUUGAUCAUUGACGUUACCCGCAGAAGAAGCACCGGCUAACUCCGUGCCAGCAGCCGCGGUAAUACGGAGGGUGCAAGCGUUAAUCGGAAUUACUGGGCGUAAAGCGCACGCAGGCGGUUUGUUAAGUCAGAUGUGAAAUCCCCGGGCCCAACCUGGGAACUGCAUCUAGUACUGGUAAGGUUGAGUCUCGUAGAGGGGGGUAGAAUUCCAGGUGUAGCGGUGAAAUGCGUAGAGAUCUGGAGGAAUACCGGUGGCGAAGGCGACCCCCUGAACGAAGACUGACGCUCAGGUGCGAAAGGGUGGGGAGCAAACAGG